AUUGAACGCUGGCGGCAGGCUUAACACAUGCAAGUCGAGCGGGGAAAGGUAGCUUGCUUCCUGACCUAGCGGCGGACGGGUGAGUAAUGCUUAGGAAUCUGCCUAUUAGUGGGGGACAACAUCUCGAAAGGGAUGCUAAUACCGCAUACGUCCUACGGGAGAAAGCAGGGGACCUUCGGGCCUUGCGCUAAUAGAUGAGCCUAAGUCGGAUUAGCUAGUUGGUGGGGUAAAGGCCUACCCAGGCGACGAUCUGUAGCGGGUCUGCGAGGAUGAUCCGCCACCAUGGGACUGGGACAAGGCCCAGACUCCUACGGGAGGCAGCAGUGGGGAAAAUUGGACAAUGGGGGGAACCCUGAUCCAGCCAUGCCGCGUGUGUGAAGAAGGCCUUUGGGUUGUAAAGCACUUUAAGCGAGGAGGAGGCUACCGAGAUUAAUACUCUUGGAUAGUGGACGUUACUCGCAGAAUAAGCACCGGCUAACUCUGUG
Molecule: ribosomal RNA, 485 nt
Filed under: uncultured bacterium
Lineage: Bacteria
Description: partial 16S ribosomal RNA
Rfam family: Bacterial small subunit ribosomal RNA
Source: RNAcentral